GACGAACGGCUGGCGGCGUGCCUAACACAUGCAAGUCGAGCGGAGUCGAUCGACGGAAGCCUUCGGGCGGAAGAUGGUUGACUUAGCGGCGGAUGGGUGAGUAACGCGUGGGCAACCUGCCUCGAAGACCGGGAUAACAGCCCGAAAGGGCUGCUAAUACCGGAUGUGGUCAAGGAUCCGCAUGGAUUUUGAUUAAGGGAAACCCGUUUCGAGAUGGGCCCGCGUCCUAUCAGCUAGUUGGUGAGGUAAAAAGCUCACCAAGGCGACGACGGGUAGCCGGCCUGAGAGGGUGACCGGCCACACUGGAACUGAGACACGGUCCAGACUCCUACGGGGGGCAGCAGUGGGGAAUCUUCCACAAUGGGCGAAAGCCUGAUGGAGCGACGCCGCGUGAGCGAAGAAGGCCUUCGGGUUGUAAAGCUCUGUCUGGAGGGACGAAGGAAGUGACGGUACCUCCGGAGGAAGCCACGGCUAACUACGUG
This 482-nucleotide ribosomal RNA is filed under the name uncultured bacterium. RNAcentral describes it as "bacterial SSU rRNA". It matches the Rfam family "Bacterial small subunit ribosomal RNA", at positions 35 to 507 of the family's 1533-position model. The record is from RNAcentral.